Molecule: ribosomal RNA, 439 nt
Filed under: uncultured Methylotenera sp.
Lineage: Bacteria; Pseudomonadati; Pseudomonadota; Betaproteobacteria; Nitrosomonadales; Methylophilaceae
Description: bacterial SSU rRNA
Rfam family: Bacterial small subunit ribosomal RNA
Source: RNAcentral
GAAUUUUGGACAAUGGGCGCAAGCCUGAUCCAGCCAUUCCGCGUGAGUGAAGAAGGCCUUCGGGUUGUAAAGCUCUUUCGCAAGGGAAGAAAGAUUGCUCUCUAAUAUAGAGUGAUUAUGACGGUACCUUGAUAAGAAGCACCGGCUAACUACGUGCCAGCAGCCGCGGUAAUACGUAGGGUGCGAGCGUUAAUCGGAAUUACUGGGCGUAAAGCGUGCGCAGGCUGUUUUGUAAGUCAGAUGUGAAAUCCCUGAGCUCAACUUAGGAACUGCGUUUGAAACUACAAGACUAGAAUAUGUCAGAGGGGGGUAGAAUUCCACGUGUAGCAGUGAAAUGCGUAGAGAUGUGGAGGAAUACCAAUGGCGAAGGCAGCCCCCUGGGAUAAUAUUGACGCUCAUGCACGAAAGCGUGGGGAGCAAACAGGAUUAGAUACCCGUG